Long non-coding RNA from Ruditapes philippinarum (Manila clam), 597 nucleotides. RefSeq lists it as uncharacterized. The record is from RefSeq and is a predicted model, not a curated record. NCBI's taxonomy places the organism in Eukaryota, Metazoa, Mollusca, Bivalvia, Venerida, Veneridae. The transcript is spliced from 3 exons.
AAUUAAAUUAAUUCUUGCAGUAGGCCACAUCCAACCAUUUAUUGACAAUCUAGAGAUAUUGUUUGAAGCAGUAGCUACACUUAAACCUGGAGGAAAAGAGUGCAAAGAUGAUUUGGACGUUAUAAGAGCCAUAGAAAGUAAUACAGGAUUCAAACAUGGAAAGGGGUGCAAGACUAGAUAAAUUGUAGUUCUACAUAAGGAUAUUGAAGAAGCUAAUCUGUCAAAGGUCCUGUCAUCACAGCCUAAUACUCCUCCAAGUGAAGCCUUGUUUUUAUUUUUAACAACAUAGAACUGGACAAACAGUAUAUUGUUGGAGACCAGUGCAAGAUACCACUUGAGACAGAUAGCCUCAUGGAAGGCUAUUCUUAUUGAUAAGCUGGUAUUAUAUAAUGAAUCUUGAAAAUCCCACUGCUUUUCACAACUCCUUGGAUUCAUGCAACAAACAGUAUUUAAACAAGCCUUUCUUAGUCACAAGUCGGCUGGGUAUUUACACUUUGUGGAAAAAUUGGAAAAACUAAUGAACAAAUAGAACCAACAUUUUAAAUUAAAUUCAACCUUCUGAGUCAUGGACAUAUUAUUGACUUCUUAACAGCUUAC